RNAcentral lists this long non-coding RNA (235 nucleotides) under Elaeis guineensis (African oil palm). RNAcentral describes it as "long non-coding RNA (EGUI_LNC000245)". Lineage: Eukaryota; Viridiplantae; Streptophyta; Magnoliopsida; Arecales; Arecaceae. The record is from RNAcentral.
GGGUGCAAGGACUAAAAUUUGUACUCCAGCAAUUGGUAUUCCACUGCCAACUUCAUUGGACAUUAACCAACUCAAUUUUACACUGUAAAUAGCCAUCUACAGAUGACUUCUCUCAAACAAUGGAGAUCUCGGAGAGAGCAUCAUCUAAAAGAAGAAUCAAUCUAAAAAAAUAUGACAUGACCUAAUUAGUUCUCUCUAUAUAUGGCACCUAUCUAUAUCAACAGUUUUUGGCCCN